GGAUUUAUUGGGCGUAAAGCGAGCGCAGGCGGUUUUCUAAGUCUGAUGUGAAAGCUUCGGCUUAACCGAAGAAGUGCAUCGGAAACUGGAUGACUUGAGUGCAGAAGAGGGCAGUGGAACUCCAUGUGUAGCGGUGGAAUGCGUAGAUAUAUGGAAGAACACCAGUGGCGAAGGCGGCUGCCUGGUCUGUAACUGACGCUGAGGCUCGAAAGCAUGGGUAGCGAACAGGAUUAGAUACCCUGGUAGUCCAUGCCGUAAACGAUGAGUGCUAGGUGUUGGAGGGUUUCCGCCCUUCAGUGCCGGAGCUAACGCAUUAAGCACUCCGCCUGGGGAGUACGACCGCAAGGUUGAAACUCAAAGGAAUUGACGGGGGCCCGCACAAGCGGUGGAGCAUGUGGUUUAAUUCGAAGCUACGCGAAGAACCUUACCAGGUCUUGACAUCUUGCGCCAACCCUAGAGAUAGGGCGUUCCCUUCGGGGACGCAAUGACAGGUGGUGCAUGGUCGUCGUCAGCUCGUGUCGUGAGAUGUUGGGUUAAGUCCCGCAACGAGCGCAACCCUUGUUACUAGUUGCCAGCAUUCAGUUGGGCACUCUAGUGAGACUGCCGGUGACAAACCGGAGGAAGGUGGGGACGACGUCAGAUCAUCAUGCCCCUUAUGACCUGGGCUACACACGUGCUACAAUGGACGGUACAACGAGUCGCGAACUCGCGAGGGCAAGCUAAUCUCUUAAAACCGUUCUCAGUUCGGACUGCAGUCUGCAACUCGACUGCACGAAGUCGGAAUCGCUAGUAAUCGCGGAUCAGCAUGCCGCGGUGAAUACGUUCCCGGGCCUUGUACACACCGCCCGUCACACCAUGGGAGUUUGCAAUGCCCAAAGUCGGUGGGGUAACCUUUGGAGCCAGCCG
Molecule: ribosomal RNA, 906 nt
Filed under: Limosilactobacillus ingluviei
Lineage: Bacteria; Bacillati; Bacillota; Bacilli; Lactobacillales; Lactobacillaceae
Description: bacterial SSU rRNA
Rfam family: Bacterial small subunit ribosomal RNA
Source: RNAcentral